Molecule: microRNA, 22 nt
Filed under: Gallus gallus (chicken)
Lineage: Eukaryota; Metazoa; Chordata; Aves; Galliformes; Phasianidae
Description: microRNA Ros-gga
Source: RNAcentral
CAACAGAAGGGUGCACACAUCC